Molecule: long non-coding RNA, 812 nt
Organism: Melozone crissalis (California towhee)
Lineage: Eukaryota; Metazoa; Chordata; Aves; Passeriformes; Passerellidae
Exons: 2
Source: RefSeq, a predicted model, not a curated record
GAGGUGUCCCUGCCAUGGCAGGGGUGGCACUGGGUGGGCUUUGAUGUCCCCUCCAACCCAAACCAUUCUGGGAUUCUGUUAUUCCAUGAUUCUAUCAAAUGGUGUUAAAAUCUAAGAAAACUUUCUGCUUUCAGUGGCAUCAGACAUUUAAGGGACUUGCAGAAUCCUUCCACUUCAGAAGAAAAAGUUCUUUAAGAUUUAGUAUCCAAGCAGAUCUUUUAUAAUUAUAAAUAAGAUGUGAAAAAGGAGGAAAGGGCUUUGACUCAAAGUCCUGUUUGAGUGCUGGAGGAGCACAGUUCCACAGGCCCAAAGGGGAAUAUUUUACUCCUUCAUUCCAUGACUUUAUUACUGUUCCAUGUGGGACUAACUGUGGUUGUUUCUCCUGCUGAUAAAUCCCCUGAGGAGCCACAGCAGAGCUCUCCUGCUCUGAGCUGCUCCCACCAAAGCAGAACAGCCUCACUGGCCAUGAAUCUGGAAAUGGUUUUGCCUGGAACUCCAGACAUCCUCUGCUUUUCCAGGGCAGGAAAUGCUUUUGCUUUGCUGUGAUUUUGCUUUUCAGUCUAACCAAGCUCAGCUUUGUCCUUGGGACACUUCAGCUCCAAUGCAGCAGAGCCACAGUGCUCAAAGGGGGACCUGGAAAUAUUCCAAAGGAUCUCAUUGUCCUGAAAGAAAAAGUCAAAAUCAGGUGGUGCAACCAAGGGAAACUGCUGAAGAGCAGCAGGACCUGAAGUGUAGAGCAUUAAGUGAUGGUUGUGUACCCCAUGCCAUACAUGAAUGUAAUUCUUCUAUGAAUAUUAAAUGUUAUUUUGCAA